This 1085-nucleotide ribosomal RNA is filed under the name uncultured bacterium. RNAcentral's name for it is "bacterial SSU rRNA". It matches the Rfam family "Bacterial small subunit ribosomal RNA", at positions 8 to 1090 of the family's 1533-position model. The record is from RNAcentral.
AGAGUUUGAUCCUGGCUCAGGAUGAACGCUGGCGGCGUGCUUAACACAUGCAAGUCGAACGGGAAAUAUUUCAUUGAGACUUCGGUGGAUUUGAUCUAUUUCUAGUGGCGGACGGGUGAGUAACGCGUGGGUAACCUGCCUUAUACAGGGGGAUAACAGUCAGAAAUGGCUGCUAAUACCGCAUAAGCGCACAGAGCUGCAUGGCUCAGUGUGAAAAACUCCGGUGGUAUAAGAUGGACCCGCGUUGGAUUAGCUGGUUGGUGGGGUAACGGCCCACCAAGGCGACGAUCCAUAGCCGGCCUGAGAGGGUGAACGGCCACAUUGGGACUGAGACACGGCCCAGACUCCUACGGGAGGCAGCAGUGGGGGAUAUUGCGCAAUGGGGGCAACCCUGACGCAGCAACGCCGCGUGAAGGAUGAAGGUUUUCGGAUUGUAAACUUCUUUUAUUAAGGACGAAAAUUGACGGUACUUAAUGAAUAAGCUCCGGCUAACUACGUGCCAGCAGCCGCGGUAAUACGUAGGGAGCAAGCGUUGUCCGGAUUUACUGGGUGUAAAGGGUGCGUAGGCGGCUUUGCAAGUCAGAUGUGAAAUCUAUGGGCUCAACCCAUAAACUGCAUUUGAAACUGUAGAGCUUGAGUGAAGUAGAGGCAGGCGGAAUUCCCCGUGUAGCGGUGAAAUGCGUAGAGAUGGGGAGGAACACCAGUGGCGAAGGCGGCCUGCUGGGCUUUAACUGACGCUGAGGCACGAAAGCGUGGGUAGCAAACAGGAUUAGAUACACUGGUAGUCCACGCUGUAAACGAUGAUUACUAGGUGUGGGGGGUCUGACCCCUUCCGUGCCGGAGUUAACACAAUAAGUAAUCCACUUGGGGAGUACGGCCGCAAGGUUGAAACUCAAAGGAAUUGACGGGGGCCCGCACAAGCUGUGGAGUAUGUGGUUUAAUUCGAAGCAACGCGAAGAACCUUACCAGGUCUUGACAUCCACCUAACGAAGUAGAGAUACAUUAGGUGCCCUUCGGGGAAAGUUGAGACAGGUGGUGCAUGGUUGUCGUCAGCUCGUGUCUUGAGAUGUUGGGUUAAGUCCCGC